Molecule: transfer RNA, 68 nt
Filed under: Scolytinae sp. BMNH 1274291
Lineage: Eukaryota; Metazoa; Arthropoda; Insecta; Coleoptera; Curculionidae
Description: tRNA-Ile
Source: RNAcentral
AAUAGAGUGCCUGAGUAAAAAGGGCUAUCUUGAUAGGAUAGAUAAUGUGUUUUCUUUCACCUCUAUUU